CCUGACGCCACAAGGACACAGCGUCCUUCCAGGACCCCGUGCGCAUUCCUCCCGCGCUCGUAAUGCAGCCGCGGUUCUGCGCUGUCAUCGGGAGCCGCGGGGACGCCAGCCCGCCCGCCGGGCCGGGAAGCACGGGUCCCCUCGAGCCUCCCCGACGGCCUCCCCGCCGUCUCCCAGCGCAAAUCUUAGUGACUCUCGGGUGACUCGCAAGCGAUCAAAACGAACGUCGGCGCAGCCGGGUCCCUGGGGGAGGGGGACACGCCAGGACGAGGACACGAGGCGGAAAGGCUGCUGUGGCUUUUUCGGGUCCCCCCCUCGCCCCAGCCUCCUCCUGCCUCGCUCAGAGCCCGACGGGCCGACUCCGCGUUGUAAACACAGGCCGUGUGAGUCAGGCUCUUUCCAGCCACGGGUCACGCCUGGGAGGGUUGUGAAAUCAAAUUAGCGGGGUGUGACCAGAUUGUUAUUUUCCACAUUAAACAGUAUAGAAACGUGGAACGAAAGCGGAUGAAAGACAGUACAAGGCAUCCGGCACGCCAAACGCAACUGGACAACAAUGAGCUUGCGUGUCUAGAUACCUUUGCAACCCGUGGCAAGGACCCUCACAGCCUCCCAGGGGUCCAUGAAGGAGAAGAGAGGCCCAGCAAGACGGGAGGCGGCUGACGGGAAGGGGAUCUGGAAAAAAGACCACUGCGGUCGAUCACAAAAGUGGACAGAAAUUCUCCCCCUGGUCCCACACUCUUUGCAGCUCCUCCCAUCCAGACAUGGGGUCUGCCACCCCACCUCUUGAACCCGGGCCGGCCUUCUGACUUGCCCUGGCCAGCGGAAGGUGGUGGAAGUGACGGUGUGUGUGUCUGAGCUACGCUUCCGCUGUGCCUGGCUGCCGUGUGAGGAAGCCCCGGGCCGGCCCAUUGGAAGGUGAGAGGCAUGUGCACGUCACCUCCAUUGUCCCGCUCACAGCCAGCCGCGCCCUCGGAGCAGAGCCACGGGGCUGACCGACGGCCGACCACUGACCCCUGGCCAGGACCAGACGCACCGGCUGCACCCAAACUCCGAGCACGAGGACGAUGUGUCUGUUCCAACGCACUGUGGCGCACAGCCUUCCCCAAAUCCGGCCGUGACAACGUCUCCCGGCCCCCGUGACCUUCCAGCAUGCGGUCUCGCUCCGCGCCUGGCGUCGAGGGGAGUCUGUGAGGACUCCAAUCAGGGCCGACUCCAGGCCACACGGCAAGAGGGGCUCUGGCGGGUACCCCGGCUCCGAGUCAUCCCGGCCCAGGUGCCCAGCACGGGUGUGACGAGCCUGCAGCCCCCGGGCUGGCCCCACCGAGACCCCAGACUUGGUGCAACAGAGACCCACUGUGUGACUCCCGCGCCCAAUUCUCGACCCACCAAACCCACGAGCGUCCCAUAAUCGCUCCUUGAAUCGGCGCCACUUGGGGGCAUCUUGUCAACCAGCAACAGCCUCUAAGUUUGGGGUCAUCGGUUACGCGGCCACAGCUGACGGACGCAGCGCCACCCCCGAGACAACGGGGCCCCCUCGGCCUCACACUCUGACUCGCCCCAGUGCCCCGACUCUCGCCUCCUCUCCGCACCCAGGAUUCCUGCCCAAACGCAGGCCGCGCCCCUUUCUCUUUCCCGCCACCCCCACCCCGCAGGCCACACCCAGCUUGCUCCCCGCUGACGCCCCCCUCCCUCACUGAUGGGGGAUCAAGGCCACGCCAAGCCCCCCAGCGCCCCGCCUGCCGCUCUCAACCUCGGGGGACACCCCACGACCCAGCGACCGGCACAACGGGGGGCCCGCAGGACCUGCCUGCACCACGCCGGGCACCACCUGACUGGGGC
Molecule: long non-coding RNA, 1839 nt
Filed under: Equus asinus (donkey)
Lineage: Eukaryota; Metazoa; Chordata; Mammalia; Perissodactyla; Equidae
Description: lncRNA (ENSEASG00005029884.1)
Source: RNAcentral